AAAGACUUAGUCCUAACCUUACUGUUAGUUUUUGCUAGGUAUAUACAUGCAAGUAUCCGCGCUCCAGUGUAGAUGCCCUGGACCCCUUAAAUAGGAAGAUAGGAGCGGGUAUCAGGCUCGCCAUAACCGCAGCCCAAGACGCCUUGCAAUUGCCACACCCCCACGGGUAUUCAGCAGUAGUUAAUAUUAAGCAAUGAGUGUAAACUUGACUUAGCCAUAGCAAAUCUAGGGUUGGUAAAUCCUGUGCCAGCCACCGCGGUCAUACAGGAGACCCAAAUUAACUUUAUAACGGCGUAAAGAGUGGUCACAUGCUAUCCAAGUAACUAAGAUUAAAAAGCAACUGAGCUGUCAUAAGCCCAAGAUGCCAAUAAGGCCUCCUACCAAAGAAGAUCUUAGGACAACGAUUAAUUGAACUCCACGAAAGCCAGGGCCCAAACUGGGAUUAGAUACCCCACUAUGCCUGGCCCUAAAUCUUGAUGCUUACACCUACUAAAGCAUCCGCCCGAGAACUACGAGCACCAACGCUUAAAACUCUAAGGACUUGGCGGUGCCCCAAACCCACCUAGAGGAGCCUGUUCUGUAAUCGAUAAUCCACGCUACACCUGACCAUUCCUUGCCAAAACAGCCUACAUACCGCCGUCGCCAGCCCACCUCCCCUGAAGGCCCAACAGUGAGCGCAACAGCCCCACCACGCUAACAAGACAGGUCAAGGUAUAGCCUAUGGAAUGGUAGCAAUAUAGCCUAUGGAAUGGUAGCAAUGGGCUACAUUUCUAAGCUAGAACAUAACGGCAAAGGGGUAUGAAAUAACCCCUGGAAGGCGGAUUUAGCAGUAAAGUGGGACAAUCGAGCCCUCUUUAAGCCGGCCCUGGGGCACGUACACACCGCCCGUCACCCUCCUCGCAGGNNCCCCCCCCCCCCCUNAAAUUAAUAAGCUACUCAGCCAAAGAUGAGGUAAGUCGUAACAAGGUAAGUGUACCGGAAGGUGCACUUAGAUUAC
RNAcentral lists this non-coding RNA (997 nucleotides) under Chlorophanes spiza. RNAcentral describes it as "12S ribosomal RNA". It matches the Rfam family "Bacterial small subunit ribosomal RNA". The record is from RNAcentral. Lineage: Eukaryota; Metazoa; Chordata; Aves; Passeriformes; Thraupidae.